CAAGGUGUUGGCCUCUUUAGAGAGAAAAUGGAGAGACAAUUCUCACCAAUUUUCCCCAAAAAUAAACCCUUUUUAAUCCUUAAUGAAUAUUUGGCUAUAAAGUCAUUUAUAUAGUCACUUCUUUAAGUGACCUAAACAACCAAAACCCUAAUUCAUUCCAUAUGGCCGGCCAUUUAGGGAUUUUUGGGCUUUUGGGCUUUAAUGAAUCUUUAUUCAUUAAAUUGUCAUACAACU
This 234-nucleotide long non-coding RNA is filed under the name Malus domestica (apple). Its description in RNAcentral is "long non-coding RNA (MDOM_LNC012710)". The record is from RNAcentral. Lineage: Eukaryota; Viridiplantae; Streptophyta; Magnoliopsida; Rosales; Rosaceae.